GACGAACGCUGGCGGCGUGCUUAACACGUGCAAGUCGAACGCUGAAGCUCAGCUUUUGUUGGGUGGAUGAGUGGCGAACGGGUGAGUAACACGUGAGUAACCUGCCUCCUUCUUUGGGAUAACGCCCGGAAACGGGUGCUAAUACUGGAUAUUCACUGGUCUUCGCAUGGGGGUUGGUGGAAAGGGUUUUUCUGGUGGGGGAUGGGCUCGCGGCCUAUCAGCUUGUUGGUGGGGUGAUGGCCUACCAAGGCUUUGACGGGUAGCCGGCCUGAGAGGGUGACCGGUCACAUUGGGACGGAGAUACGGCCCAGACUCCUACGGGAGGCAGCAGUGGGGAAUAUUGCACAAUGGGCGCAAGCCUGAUGCAGCGACGCCGCGUGAGGGAUGGAGGCCUUCGGGUUGCGAACCUCUUUCGCUCAUGGUCAAGCCGCAACAAUGGUUGUGGUGAGGGUAGUGGGUAAAGAAGCGCCGGCUAACUACGUG
Molecule: ribosomal RNA, 483 nt
Filed under: uncultured bacterium
Lineage: Bacteria
Description: partial 16S ribosomal RNA
Rfam family: Bacterial small subunit ribosomal RNA
Source: RNAcentral